UAGCUGCGUUAACCGGUGUGAAUUGCAGGACACGCCGAGCACUCGACAUUCGAACGCACAUUGCGCCCUUGGGCUACUCCCGAGGGCUUAUCUGUCUGAGA
RNAcentral lists this ribosomal RNA (101 nucleotides) under Allothrombium pulvinum. RNAcentral describes it as "partial 5.8S ribosomal RNA". It matches the Rfam family "5.8S ribosomal RNA", at positions 50 to 149 of the family's 154-position model. Rfam says of the family: 5.8S ribosomal RNA (5.8S rRNA) is a component of the large subunit of the eukaryotic ribosome. It is transcribed by RNA polymerase I as part of the 45S precursor that also contains 18S and 28S rRNA. Functionally, it is thought that 5.8S rRNA may be involved in ribosome translocation. The record is from RNAcentral. Lineage: Eukaryota; Metazoa; Arthropoda; Arachnida; Trombidiformes; Trombidiidae.